CACUGAGACAUGUUGGAAGGACUUUGCACCUACAGCUCUGCCUGGCCUGGUAUUUCCCACUGCUCCAGUGCUGGGCACUUAUGGCUGCACAGGACCAGAGACACAACAGGCACAUCCAUGGUUGCCUUCUCAAUUUUCUUGCUCUGGAAGCAGAAACAGAAGAGGAGCCCCAGCCUGCAGCCUUGCAUGUGGGCAUCCUACGCAGCCUGACGGGUGGAAAAUGCUGCCGGAUUCCAAAAAACACAGUGCUGUUACAUCAUUUCUCUAGUGCUGGAAUAACAACAGAGGCUGCCUUAGGGCAGGAAAGGCCAGGUGUCUGUGCUGAGCCUCUCAGAUCUGCUGCCCAUCUUUGAUGCUGCUGGCACAAGAGAUUUGGGGCCAAGCAGAGCUGUUUUGUCUUCAUUGAGCCAGACCCUCCAGCUUCUCAACGGCCAACCAAGAUGCAUCUGGCCUUCAAGACCAUAUGAAUCUUUUCCAGCCAGCUUUUUCCAGUGCACAGUGUGCGCUGUUCCUGGUAACAUCUCACUCCAGCUACAUUAGCCCUGGAAGAGCUUUCUUGUGCAAAACUCCAAGCCAAAA
Long non-coding RNA from Corapipo altera (White-ruffed manakin), 579 nucleotides. RefSeq lists it as uncharacterized. The transcript is spliced from 4 exons. The record is from RefSeq and is a predicted model, not a curated record. Lineage: Eukaryota; Metazoa; Chordata; Aves; Passeriformes; Pipridae.